GGAUUCUGAGCGAUAACAGCAAGAACCACUCACCAGGCUGUUCAGGAAGCAGAGGGCUCUGUGAGGGGCUCUCGAACGCACACCAACAAGCCUGUAGGAGACCCUGGCUGUGCUUCUGUGACUAUCAGCUGUGGCCACAUGAGCAGUGCCUGAUGGAUGUGGACGGCGUGAUUCAUGGUGGCCUCUCUCCAGAGCUCUGAGAGUGCCAGGGGUGAUGAGAUGGAAGUCCAGAGAUGGGGCCAGAGGAGAUGGCCCUGCUUAUGUCUAAGCCUCAGCCACCGCUGGGAGUCUGCCCACCUAGCGGACUGCCGGAAGAAACGAUUUGCCUGAGAAGUUGAAGAGCCUGCAGAUGGGAACUCAUCCCAGAGGGCAGAACCCAGCCGAUUAACCAGACCCAAGACCAAGCUCUAGUUCUCAGUAACACAGAUGGGUCUUCAUCCCAGCCUUCUACUGACUCAAUAUUCAGGUCCUGGGAGAAAGACGUCUGUGAGAAAACACGAAAAGGCUAUUUUUGUAAAAGAACUCAAUAUACGGAAGUAUUCGUGAUUUAGAUGGGUGUCAGAAUCCAGCCAUCAAGUUGAAAUAGGUUAAUUUGGUCUUACCAGCUGUGUCUCAGUCAUCUGGAAGAAUAUAUUGACACAAGAAGUAACUAUGAGUACACUCUUUAGAAAUUGUGUUUGCAGCUGGUG
Molecule: long non-coding RNA, 689 nt
Organism: Hippopotamus amphibius kiboko
Lineage: Eukaryota; Metazoa; Chordata; Mammalia; Artiodactyla; Hippopotamidae
Exons: 5
Source: RefSeq, a predicted model, not a curated record